CGACUUGUGUGCGUGCCUGU
Molecule: unclassified non-coding RNA, 20 nt
Filed under: Chlamydomonas reinhardtii
Lineage: Eukaryota; Viridiplantae; Chlorophyta; Chlorophyceae; Chlamydomonadales; Chlamydomonadaceae
Description: small RNA Cre_1201
Source: RNAcentral